This 319-nucleotide long non-coding RNA is filed under the name Citrus maxima (pomelo). RNAcentral's name for it is "long non-coding RNA (CMAX_LNC001024)". Lineage: Eukaryota; Viridiplantae; Streptophyta; Magnoliopsida; Sapindales; Rutaceae. The record is from RNAcentral.
AUGCACUCCCACUGACACCAUCCCCUUCUCUCUCUCUCAACCCCCCAGCAAAAAAUAAUCAAAAUACACUCCCCAAGACCCCUAUUUCCCCCACCGGCGAUGGACCCUCCACCGCCGCCACCACCUCUAUCGUCCGCUGCACCCACCACCACCACAACCGCCGCCAUCACUACUCAACCCUAUGCCGACUCCAUCGACUCCUCUCCCCGUUCCCGCCACACCGACUCCUGGGACGAUCCUCCCACAAACGGCGCAGCCGCCGCUGCCCUGUCCUCUAAGCUCCGCCUCAUGUGCAGCUACGGCGGCCAUAUAGUCCCCC